Molecule: transfer RNA, 73 nt
Filed under: Camelus bactrianus (Bactrian camel)
Lineage: Eukaryota; Metazoa; Chordata; Mammalia; Artiodactyla; Camelidae
Also listed under: 1 other name
Rfam family: tRNA
About the family: Transfer RNA (tRNA) molecules are approximately 80 nucleotides in length. Their secondary structure includes four short double-helical elements and three loops (D, anti-codon, and T loops). Further hydrogen bonds mediate the characteristic L-shaped molecular structure. tRNAs have two regions of fundamental functional importance: the anti-codon, which is responsible for specific mRNA codon recognition, and the 3' end, to which the tRNAs corresponding amino acid is attached (by aminoacyl-tRNA synthetases). tRNAs cope with the degeneracy of the genetic code in two manners: having more than one tRNA (with a specific anti-codon) for a particular amino acid; and 'wobble' base-pairing, i.e. permitting non-standard base-pairing at the 3rd anti-codon position.
Source: Rfam by way of RNAcentral
GAGGGGAUGGCUCAGUGGUAGAGCGCGUGCUUAGCAUGCGCCAGAUCCUGGGUUCAAUUCCCCAGUCCCUCCA